CCUGGCCCCACUUCUCAGAUUGUGUUUCACACUUCAGUCCAAAUUGGCAAGAUAUGUUGAAGAUUUGAAGUAAAUGGUGAGGUUAAUCUGGGGAAGUUAAUCCUGCAGUAUAUAAUUUAUAAACAUGAGGAUGGAAAGGCUAGCUAUAAGGUCAAAAGUUCAAAGGGAAUAUUUGCUCCUAGUCUGUGAGAUGAGAACAAAGACAACCAG
Molecule: long non-coding RNA, 210 nt
Organism: Thamnophis elegans (Western terrestrial garter snake)
Lineage: Eukaryota; Metazoa; Chordata; Lepidosauria; Squamata; Natricidae
Exons: 3
Source: RefSeq, a predicted model, not a curated record